GAAUGCUGACAUAAGUAACGAUAAAGCGGGUGAAAAGCCCGCUCGCCGGAAGACCAAGGGUUCCUGUCCAACGUUAAUCGGGGCAGGGUGAGUCGACCCCUAAGGCGAGGCCGAAAGGCGUAGUCGAUGGGAAACAGGUUAAUAUUCCUGUACUUGGUGUUACUGCGAAGGGGGGACGGAGAAGGCUAUGUUAGCCGGGCGACGGUUGUCCCGGUUUAAGCAUGUAGGCGGAGGUUCCAGGUAAAUCCGGUACCUUUUAACGCUGAGGUGUGAUGACGAGGCACUACGGUGCUGAAGUAACAAAUGCCCUGCUUCCAGGAAAAGCCUCUAAGCAUCAGGUAACACGAAAUCGUACCCCAAACCGACACAGGUGGUCAGGUAGAGAAUACCAAGGCGCUUGAGAGAACUCGGGUGAAGGAACUAGGCAAAAUGGUGCCGUA
This 440-nucleotide ribosomal RNA is filed under the name Pluralibacter gergoviae. RNAcentral's name for it is "partial 23S ribosomal RNA". It matches the Rfam family "Bacterial large subunit ribosomal RNA", at positions 1292 to 1732 of the family's 2925-position model. Lineage: Bacteria; Pseudomonadati; Pseudomonadota; Gammaproteobacteria; Enterobacterales; Enterobacteriaceae. The record is from RNAcentral.